CUUUCCAAAGAUGGAUGCAAAUGCUGGGAAAGCAAGAGUUGAAUUGCUAGCCAUGAGGAAAACGUAAGCCUGAGCUGUUUGCUGGCCAUCUUUGCUUCCACAUGGGGAUGGCCUGCCUGGAAAUGAAGCCACACAGAGAAAACAGAAGAGCAGUGAAGAGAAGGGUAAAAGGAGAGAUCCCAUGACAUGAUUUGCACUCUUAGAUCCAGUUAUGCCUGAUGCAGGACCCACCCCUUGGACUUCCCAUUUCCAGGAGCUAAAACUAGACUGAGUUGAGUUUCUGUCACUGACAGUUGACAGAAAAUAUCAACAAUCCAGCCACAUGGAGCCUCAUGGCAGUACCACUAACCCUGGUCACCACAUGAAUACUGACCAGAGGCAUUUCACCUGAAUCAACUGUUUGUGUUCUUAACUCCAUCUCCUCAUCUGCUUCCUGGAAGACCCAACUGACAUAGAUGGUUACAAGAAAUGAUUUCCUCCUUAUAAAACUCUAGAUGUCAAUGUGAUCUUUCACAAGCACACUGAAAAAUUCACACCGUGGAAAAGAACUAAAGUCCCAUCCUAAUUCAUCAGAGCCUUCUGUUUCCUGUAACAAAGAAGAACUCACAAGAUCAGGAUUCCAAGGCCAAAGACUCCAGGGACAGAUUUGGGUUAGAAACCUGGCCUCAGGGAAAAGCAAAUGAAGCCUGUUCAUUCCCCAGAAGAGAAGCAAUAGAGAACUGCUCACCGUGAUGGGCGCACCUCAGCUUUGCUAAUUUAUCGUCCUCAUGAACCGCACCAGCAAGGGGCCUUCUAUGAGGCCGAACUUCCCACUCACCCGAGCCUGUUGGAGACAUGACCCAAGGCUUUGGGGGCUUUCUCGCAGCUUCUGCUUAAAUGGAGGCAAGGAGGGAGCCAGUCCUUUCACCAUGACCUCUAAAUGACUCCAGUGCUGAAGGCUGUGGGGCCUUCGAUCACUCGAAAACUAGGAGACAUAUAUUUUUAGACACAUGCUGUCAUCUGGGCAGCCUUAAGUAGAUGUUUUCUCUGUCUUUCCUCAGAUCUAGUGGGUUUGCAAGAAACCCUCCCAGGGCAGCAGCCUUAGAGGAAGUGCCUGCUAAUGCAAGAAGGAGGGCAAGGGGGACAGCAAGCUGGAGCCUGGAGCUGCUCAUGCGCUUGGAAUCCUCGGCGGGCGCAGGCGGGGAUUUACGGACCUGCCUUUUCCCUCAUCAUUCCGCAGGAAGCUUCUUUAAAUGAGCCUCAGCCCAGCAGCUCUCAUGGGGCCUGGUGUUUAUAGUGGAGACUGAGAUAAAAGAACCGUGGAGAUGCCAGCCCUGGAUAUCGACCCCACGGUCCAGGAAUCAUCAACUGGGCCCGAGGGCAAAUUGUGUUCUGUUUUCUCUGUGCGAAAUGCCAGAAUGCUCCUGCCUCGAAGAGGUUGACUCUGUUGUCAGCUGUGGGAAAAAACAGCCAGAGUUGCUAUUUACACCCUGAACUGCAAGCUGGGUAAAAAUAGCGCUAGCAGCUUGGUCCAGCUUCAAACCCCACUGCAGAGAGAUUAUUUUUGGAAGAGAAGAUUUUCCUCCCCACCCACAGAUCUGAAAAUGGUCACCUCCCCGGAAGAAAGGGGGAGAGAUGAUCCCACGCAAAGGUGAAACCUACCCCCUUCCCACUUUCCCUGCCCAGGACAGCACAUCAAGAGACAGACAAGAAAUGCCCUCCCCUGACAGCAGGUCAGGCCCAGCACAGCCCUGCAGCUGACCUAGUUCAAGGUACAGUGAGAAUUAAUUAACUUUGACUAAGUGAGAGGAGGCAGCUUUCUGAACCUGGAUGCUGCACCAUCCUGUUGCUUGUUAUGGCUAAAGGCAGAAAAAAUAAUUGAUCAAAAGAGUACGCAAGACCCCAAAACAAUAGCUCAGAGCCUGAGGGUCAGGAAAUUACUCUCCAGCCCUCCCACUCCGGAUAGGCCGUGAUACGGCUGUACAAUGAUGAACAAAUUCCCAAAA
Homo sapiens (human) is the source of this 1985-nucleotide long non-coding RNA. Ensembl annotates it as long intergenic non-protein coding RNA 1476. Lineage: Eukaryota; Metazoa; Chordata; Mammalia; Primates; Hominidae. The record is from Ensembl.